ACAUUGUGGGCCAAUUUUUGGUAUUUGUUGUUGAGCCCAAUAGUAAAAAUAGACACAUGACACCUAGGGUUUUGUGAAGGAGGUGGACCCCACCCUAUUUUUGAGACACUUGGCCUUAGCAAGAGAAGCUACCAGCCGUCACAUUGAUUCAGAGAGUUUUGCUGGAAGGGGGUUUUNUAUUAGGCACCUGNCGAGACACUUCAUGGAACGGGGGCCUGAACGUUUUUGUUAGAUAGCAUUUUCUCUUUGCUGGCACAAUAUUCACGGUGAUGGAAUUUGGAUGAAUGGAGAGAUAUAAUUUGUUUCUUUGCUUUUUGUUUGCAUUUAAAAAAGAGUUUCCACGCGUUGCAGAUUUUGAGCAAUCGGUGCCUGUUCUUGUCUUGUGGUUGCAGCCGGUCUUCUCCUUUGCUUUUUAAAUUGUUUCAUUAUUGUUUGAUUCUAGCAUUUAGCUUUGUUGGAGGAUGCAGCAUAGCUGCCACGGGUGUUGAUUGAUGGAGAUAUGAGCUUGGUUUCACGGCUGCACGUACGGUUUUUGAAGGGUUGGAGAACUUUUUAUUUUAAUUUCUUGUAAAUGAAGAUGAGUAGUGGGAAAUCACGUCCAUGCUAGGAUUAUAGGUUGUUUGACUUACAGUCAUUCCUUUUUCUUCAUUUAAAAGCACAUGAAUAUUGUUAGCUAAAGUGAACGGCCUCGGGAUGCAUGUCCAGGAGAUACAUUUACGUUUUCUUUGCUGCACAUGGUGGCUGAUUUCUUAUUCACAUUUUUUUUUUCAGCAUUUUUGGUUAAAUUGUUUAAUGGUGUUUUCUUUUAGUUUUUAAUUUAAAUUUCAUUUAUUAGAUAAAGCAGAAUCUCCUUUAUUGAACUUUAAUCGAUGCAUGCUUUCUUGCAUUAAUUUUUAUUUUGCAUUGUUUAAAUUCGGUUCCAG
Molecule: long non-coding RNA, 923 nt
Filed under: Vigna radiata
Lineage: Eukaryota; Viridiplantae; Streptophyta; Magnoliopsida; Fabales; Fabaceae
Description: long non-coding RNA (VRAD_LNC001005)
Source: RNAcentral